AUUGAACGCUGGCGGCAUGCCUUACACAUGCAAGUCGAACGGUAACAGGUCUUCGGAUGCUGACGAGUGGCGAACGGGUGAGUAAUACAUCGGAACGUGCCUAGUAGUGGGGGAUAACUACUGGAAAGAGUGGCUAAUACCGCAUGAGAUCUACGGAUGAAAGCAGGGGAUCGCAAGACCUUGUGCUACUAGAGCGGCCGAUGGCAGAUUAGGUAGUUGGUGGGAUAAAAGCUUACCAAGCCGACGAUCUGUAGCUGGUCGGAGAGAACGAUCAGCCACACUGGGACUGAGAAACGGCCCAGACUCCUACGGGAGGCAGCAGUGGGGAAUUUUGGACAAUGGGCGCAAGCCUGAUCCAGCAAUGCCGCGUGCAGGAUGAAGGCCUUCGGGUUGUAAACUGCUUUUGUACGGAACGAAAAGCCCCGGGUUAAUACCCUGGGGUCAUGACGGUACCGUAAGAAUAAGCACCGGCUAACUACGUGCCAGCAGCCGCAGUAA
Molecule: ribosomal RNA, 498 nt
Filed under: uncultured bacterium
Lineage: Bacteria
Description: partial 16S ribosomal RNA
Rfam family: Bacterial small subunit ribosomal RNA
Source: RNAcentral